RNAcentral lists this ribosomal RNA (459 nucleotides) under uncultured bacterium. RNAcentral's name for it is "partial 16S ribosomal RNA". It matches the Rfam family "Bacterial small subunit ribosomal RNA", at positions 30 to 507 of the family's 1533-position model. The record is from RNAcentral.
AGUGGACGCUGGCGGCAGGCCUAACACAUGCAAGUCGAGCGGCAGCGCGGGGGCAACCCUGGCGGCGAGCGGCGGACGGGUGAGGAAUUCGUCGGAAUCUGCCUUUUUGUGGGGGAUAACGUAGGGAAACUUACGCUAAUACCGCAUACGUCCUACGGGAGAAAGUGGGGGACCGCAAGGCCUCACGCAGAGAGAUGAGCCGACGACCGAUUAGCUAGUUGGUGGGGUAAAGGCCCACCAAGGCGACGAUCGGUAGCUGGUCUGAGAGGAGGAUCAGCCAGAGUGGGACUGGGACACGGGCCGGACGGCAACGGGAGGGAGGAGGGGAGAAGAUUAGACAAGGGGGGAAAGACUGAUCGAGCAAGGACGCGUGAGUGAGAAAGGCCGCAGGGAAGUAAAGCCCUGUGACCAGGGAUGAUGAUGAGACGAGCGGGAGAAUGGGCUCGGGCUAAAUCAGUG